UUUCCCAAGAUGAUAGCUUUCAUAUCUAGACAUGCAUGAAGCAUGGUUAUUAAACCAGCAAGAGCCAUCGGUGAUAACAAGAAACGAUCAGAAUGAUAUGGAUUCAGAGUCAAUAAGCCCUUUCCCAAAUGUACAAGACCUUGAGCAAUUCGCACACAGAACAGAAGGCUAGCAUCUUUGUAGUAAUAGCUUGAAAGAUUGCGAAGCAUGCCAGCAAUUCUGGCAUUAUUGGUUCCUGCACCUAUCAAACCUAAGGAAAUAACUGCAGCCAUUGCAACUUCUGAAUCUGCAUCAUGGCUAAGUCUGCUUAAUGUGUCCAUAACAUUAACCUUUGGGUUUGAUAUGCAAAGGAGACCAAG
RNAcentral lists this unclassified non-coding RNA (359 nucleotides) under Hevea brasiliensis (rubber tree). The record is from RNAcentral. Lineage: Eukaryota; Viridiplantae; Streptophyta; Magnoliopsida; Malpighiales; Euphorbiaceae.